AUUCAGAAUUUGUGAAAUGGUGCUCGAGGUAUAGAAUAGGUGGGAGUGUAACGAAAUUGAAAUACCACUACUUUUGACGUUGUUUUACUUAUUAAAUAAAAACUAAAAGAUUAAUAAUCUUGAUUCUAGAAUUAACGAAUAUUACAUGUUGACUCCAUGUGGGUUAACCUCUGAUUUGGGAAGUUUGUUUAAGACAUUUUCUGGUGGGGAGUUUGGCUGGGGCGGCACAUCUGUUAAAAGAUAACACAGGUGUCCAAAGUAUAACUCAAUGAGAACGGAAAUCUCAUGUAGAAUAAAAGGGUAAAAGUUAUAUUGAUUUUGAUUUUCAGUAAGAAUACAAACCGUGAAAGCGUGGCCUAUCGAUCCUUUUAUUAAAUAAAAAUCUUAUGCUAGAGGUGUCAGAAAAGUUACCACAGGG
RNAcentral lists this ribosomal RNA (418 nucleotides) under uncultured eukaryote. Its description in RNAcentral is "eukaryotic LSU rRNA". It matches the Rfam family "Eukaryotic large subunit ribosomal RNA", at positions 2430 to 2825 of the family's 3401-position model. The record is from RNAcentral.